CGCCGGUUAGUGUGGGUCCAUCGCAUCGCUCUAGCCGCCUCCUCCUCCGUCUCGGUCGCCUCGACCCUCGAGCCCCCCACCCCUUCUCCUUUUCUCCCCAAAAUUUCGCAGCACACGCAACCUCUCCAUUUUCGUCUUUCCACAAUAUAGUCCUUCCCAUUCUUGGCAGGAGGUAGAGCAGGUGCUAGCGGCCGGGAAGGUGGGGAGGAGGAGGAGGGGAAGCGGCUGCGAGCACGCCACCGGCCCUGGACCUCGAGGGAGGAUUGGCUGGGAGGAGAAGGCGGCGGCGGCGGUUUCAAUCUGUGAUCUGGCACCGGCGCCGCCACAUUGACAGAUGGCAGGAUCUGAGGUCAGCCCUCUCCCGUGCGCCGGCGUCGGUGACAGCCGGGAGCACCACCAAGUCGUGGCAGUCCGCCUCCGGCUUCUCUGAUCAGUGGUUGUCGAGUGAGCACCGGUUUUGUGGCCUUUCAUCGAUAGAUCGUGUUGUUCAUCUUCCUGUGGUGGGCCUUCUGCUUCGUUUGUGGUCAAGAUGAGUUUCUGCUAUAUUUGUCCGUGUGAUUUUGUGUUUUCGGUGUCCUUAGAUUCAUAUGUAUGUUUGUCGAUUCAUGCUCAGUAGGUGUUUGAUGCUAUGCCAUCCAUAUGGUGGCCUGAGAUUUUGAUUUCUUUUGUCAGAAAUCGCACAAAUUAGCUCAUUCUCGACUUCGAUUCGGCGUUCAGUGUGCUGAGUGGAUCGUCUCUGCAGUUCAGGUGCUGUUUGGGAUCUCUUUGAGCUAGGUUCAGUUACUUCAGAUUGGUCUCGGUUUGUUAUUCUCGCUAUUAUUUUGGUUGCGCUCUCUUGUGAUGCGGUUGUGUAUUGCCGAGUCUUUACUCCCUCCGUCCCACAAUAUAAGAUUGUUUUUCAACCUAACAUAGCUUGAAAAACAAUCUUGUAUUGUGGGACAGUGGGAGUACUACUGUAGUAUUCAUGGCAAAAAUUGGUGAAGACUCAGUCUCCAGCGCUCCAUGUGGUUUGAUUCCCAGGAUCAUCUAAGGUUCUAUUUGGCAUGACGCAAUAUGGUUGAACUGCUUUUAGAUAUUUGGGUGUUUAGUUAGCGCCUUUUUUUCAUAAGAAGCCAGUUGCAAAUGGAUACAUUAUUGUACUUUAGAACAUAUGAGACGAGGAUACUAUAACAGUUGUUGGAUAACAUAACUUUCAACUUUAUAAUCUGCUCUACUGCAGAGUAUAGGCUUUUUCACAACAGCUUAAAGUUAAGCACAGCACAACACAUUAACCACAGACUGAGCCUCACUGUCCUUCACCUGUUCUACACAGCAACUGAUGGUGGUAUACUGACAUGAUAAUUAAUCGUGUUGUAAGGCUUCUAUCUUUUCUGAUGACAUAAUAAUCGGCAUAAUUCAAUAUGAGCAAAGCCCAAAACAGAAAGCUGUGGCGCACUUGGCUAAUACACAGUCACACUCACUGUAUCACCACAUAUGGUCUUCUAGUCACCCCUAUAUACUUUAAUGAAGACCAUUUUGGUCUUUCAUCACUAACUGUGUAAGACUUAAACUAGUGGUGUAAAAUGUUCUAAGGGUACAGUGCAACUGACUUAGGAUUUAGAGGAAUUUAAAUGAAGAUAUCCGGUAUGGGUUGUUAGUUGAGCUAUCAGCUACUGUGGUCAUAUGCAUAAUGAACUCGCUGCCAUAGCACCACACCGCUAGUGAGGUAGCAAGGUAUGCCUCCCAAGAAUACGACCAUAAAGGGGGAUGCUAAAUAUACUUAACUAUAGAUAGAAACAGUACUUGAAAUGUCCAUGUCUGUGUGAUACUUCUCUUUUUCUUCUUUUAGAUAUGCACAUCAACAACUGCAGGUAUUAUUAUUUGAAAUAAAUUUGGUUUGACUAGUUAAACUAUACUUUCUUUUGUUAACAAAUCAGUUUGAUUUUUUAAUUAUUUUUGUUGCCAAAAGUUGCUGAAAACGCAGACAAAUUUAGAUGAUGCAUUCUAUCUGGUGUAUUGAUGACUUGGCUAAUUCUCAUGCAGUUACUGCGAGUGUUUUCAUGCUGGAGUCUUCUGUUCAGAACCCUGUUCAUGUCAAGGUUGUCUGAAUAAGCCUAGCAACAUGGAGAUAGUGAGAGCAUUUCAUUUUCAUUUGAUGCACUCCAUCCACAUCUUUCAUGUUACAAUUAAAUUCACUCAGUGCAGCACGAAACCUUCUGUAUAUAUUUGCAGUAUCUACAAUCUUUCUUCACUGGCGGCUAGAUAUCUUUUUGGGUGAAUCCACACAUGAUAUAGCUAAUAUCCUGUAUGGAGAAUUAAUUUAGGUCUGUUUUGGUGGCCAACUACUGAUAUGUUUUUAGGGGCUAGAACAAGGCACAUACUAUUUUUUUUCCUUUCGAUUGGGUGAUAUACCCCACAGCUGUAAAGAAAUGAAGUUGCAGUGUCGUACGGCAAAUUAAUUUAGCUUUGUUUCGGUGGCCAACUGCUGACAUCUUAUUAGUGGCUAGAACAAGGCACGUACUGUUUUUUUUUCUUUCGAUUGGAUGAUAUACCCCAUAGCUGUAAAUAAUGAAGUUGCAGUGUAAUGAUAUAUCAUCUUAUUUCUGCA
Molecule: non-coding RNA, 2587 nt
Organism: Aegilops tauschii subsp. strangulata
Lineage: Eukaryota; Viridiplantae; Streptophyta; Magnoliopsida; Poales; Poaceae
Source: RefSeq, a predicted model, not a curated record